Myotis brandtii (Brandt's bat) is the source of this 73-nucleotide non-coding RNA. The record is from Rfam. NCBI's taxonomy places the organism in Eukaryota, Metazoa, Chordata, Mammalia, Chiroptera, Vespertilionidae.
GGCCAGAUAGCUCAAUUGGUUAGAGCAUUACCCUGAUAUGACAAGGUUUUGGUUUCGAUCUCCAAUCAGGGCU